AACUGGCUUCAAGCUGUCCACUAGCCCAAGCUCUCAAAAAAAACAGGUGUUCUCUGAGACUGUCCUUCUCCAAAUAAGUGUCAUUGCCUUUCACUGUAAUGUUUCAAAAUUUCUGUGUGAUGUUUGGUUAAUGCAGGGUGAUCUAUUGGUUCAUUUUGAAGGGGCAACCAUAUGUCUGAACAUCAGUCUCUGUCUUAUGUUACUGGUAGCAUGAUUGAGUAUCUGGGCUCAAAGUUUUCAGAAACUUCUCUACAUAAGGGAAACAGAUGCUUGCCCCAGACACCACUUACAUGUGUUUCCAAGUUACUUAAAUUUCCUACAGUUGUGCAAGUCUGUCUAUGUGCAGGCAAUCUUCUUGCAGAUCUGCUUCAGGACCUGUGAUGGAAAAUUCCAGUACUGGUCAGCCUAGGGGACUGUCAAGUGAAGAGUGGAUCUGAAAGCAACUAGACAAGUAAGAGCAAACUUACGUUAUGUGUGACCACAUGUGCUGAGCAGAGGGUUGGACCCCUUCCCUGUCACCUGUAGCAUAAUUGAAGAUGGUAUCCAAAUGUCUUUCCUGGGUCUCUAAGAGAACAAUGUCAAGGUCUCUCACUGGACACUGCUUGCUAAUUUUGUGGUAGAAACUGUUAAUGGAAUCAGUUCCUACAACAAGACUGUGGUAUCUUUUGCCAGAUCUUAAUCAUGUUCCUCUGUUCAUUGUGGGUGCCUCUGCUGCAGAAACAUUGAUUUUUAGAAUGUCAGUUUUCAAAAUAACCUGAUUUUGACAGUUUAGCAUCAGAAGGCCAAUCUGUCUUUUUAUUCUCAUUGGAAACUCUUGCAGUAGCUGGCAGCAGUGAGAUGGACUGGAUUGGCCUGUUGAAAACAGACCUCAUGAAUGUGGAAUUUGCACUGCUUGGAUGCCUUUUUUUCCUGGUAUGACAGCAUGGAUCUGAAGGGCCAGCAAGUUAACUCAGGAGUUACUCAAGCACAUCAUUGGAAACCACAUGUCUUUAGUCCUGCUGUGAAGCAAGAGGCAGCCCAGGACUCCAGGUUUUUCCUUUCUGGGAGUGAUAUUCUGCUCUGCUCAACUAGGACACCUCACGUGGAGGCUGACGUAGCUUCUCAUCUGCACCUGUGAGGACUUUCCCGAGUGUGAACUUUGUGGAGGCCAGAAGGUGACUGUUACCUGGGCAGUGCCAGAAAGGUCUCUACUCUUUCUCUUUCUAUAUAAAGUUACUUCUUCUCUGUGUGGUGAUUAAUUUGUCAACAUUCAGGUGAAGUCAUUUGCUCAUUUGAAAGGGGAGGAGAAAAUGUUCAAUAGAAAUAUGCACUGUUUGAAAUGUUCUCAAAGAGACUUCUAACCUUUAGUCUCAAU
Molecule: long non-coding RNA, 1354 nt
Filed under: Bos indicus x Bos taurus (hybrid cattle)
Lineage: Eukaryota; Metazoa; Chordata; Mammalia; Artiodactyla; Bovidae
Description: lncRNA (ENSBIXG00000012283.1)
Source: RNAcentral